AUUCUUUCCUGGCAGGGGAGAUACCAUGAUCACCAAGGUGGUUCUCCCAGGGCGAUGCUCAUCUAUUGCAUUCUGGGUGUGCUGACCCCUGCAAGCUCCACUGCUUAAUUUGUGGUAGUGGGGGACUGCAUUUAUGUUUUUUUUCU
This 146-nucleotide small nuclear RNA is filed under the name Erpetoichthys calabaricus (reedfish). RNAcentral's name for it is "U1 spliceosomal RNA (ENSECRG00000019707.1)". It matches the Rfam family "U1 spliceosomal RNA". From Rfam's summary of the family: U1 is a small nuclear RNA (snRNA) component of the spliceosome (involved in pre-mRNA splicing). The record is from Rfam by way of RNAcentral. Lineage: Eukaryota; Metazoa; Chordata; Cladistia; Polypteriformes; Polypteridae.